UACGUAGGGGGCAAGCGUUGUCCGGAUUCAUUGGGCGUAAAGAGCGUGUAGGCGGCCAGGUAGGUCGGUUGUGAAAACUGGAGGCUCAACCUUCAGAGGUCGACCGAAACCAUCUGGCUAGAGUUCGGUAGGGGAGACUGGAAUUCCUGGUGUAGCGGUGAAAUGCGCAGAUAUCAGGAGGAACACCGAUGGCGAAGGCAGGUCUCUGGGCCGAUACUGACGCUGAGGAGCGAAAGCGUGGGGAGCGAACAGG
This 253-nucleotide ribosomal RNA is filed under the name uncultured bacterium. RNAcentral describes it as "partial 16S ribosomal RNA". It matches the Rfam family "Bacterial small subunit ribosomal RNA", at positions 524 to 776 of the family's 1533-position model. The record is from RNAcentral.